Long non-coding RNA from Haemorhous mexicanus (house finch), 721 nucleotides. RefSeq lists it as uncharacterized. The record is from RefSeq and is a predicted model, not a curated record. The transcript is spliced from 3 exons. NCBI's taxonomy places the organism in Eukaryota, Metazoa, Chordata, Aves, Passeriformes, Fringillidae.
UGAGCGCGGGGCCGGGGCCGCUCCGGAGGGAGGCGGCGCAGGUCGGCCGCCCUUGCCGGGAGAGGCGGCACCUCCGGGCCCGGCGGGAAGUUGCCGAUCGAAGCCUCCGGGCAGCCCCUGCCGCCUACCCCUGCCGCGGGCAGGGGCGGCAGCCGCGGCCCGGCUCCACGGCACCUGGCCCGGGGCAGCCGCGGCGCUGCGGGCGAACGGGCCGAGGUGCGCGGGGGCCGGGGAUGCCCCGCGGCGAGGCCGAGGCAGAGGGCGGCAGAGCGGCCCCGCCGGCGGACACUGCCGUCUCGCCGGACCGGGCCGGGCCGGGCCGGGGCGGCCCCGCCACGGCACAGGAUUUCAGUGAUCUCAGACUGACGGCUCCAGGAUAAGCCCGACCUGUCCCCGUCCCACCCCACCGCACUCCCUGGCCGGCCGGAGGAGUUUGUCCGCAGGGAAAGAAAAAGGCACAGCGCCGGGAACCAUCGGUCAGCACCUCACCCUCGAGUCAGGCCCUCAGCUUUUGUCCGUCUUACCCACUCUAGCAGAUCAGAAAUACCUCAGGAAGAUGGAAGGAUAUCAGUCAAAGAAAAAUUGUUCUUAUCAUUAACCCUAAUAGCUCCAUGGCAGAGACUCAGCAACAGGAGUUUGGCUUUUGGGGCGCAGGCUGUAAUGAAGAGCAUCUCACAAGCAUCUCUGCAGCUGCACAUUGCUCUUGUUGGUAGCACUUGUG